This 177-nucleotide ribosomal RNA is filed under the name uncultured Pseudomonadota bacterium. Its description in RNAcentral is "uncultured proteobacterium partial 16S ribosomal RNA". It matches the Rfam family "Bacterial small subunit ribosomal RNA", at positions 29 to 233 of the family's 1533-position model. The record is from RNAcentral. Lineage: Bacteria; Pseudomonadati; Pseudomonadota.
AACGAACGCUGGCGGCAGGCCUAACACAUGCAAGUCGAACGCCCUAGCAAUAGGGAGUGGCAGACGGGUGAGUAACACGUGGGAACCUUCCCUAUAGUACGGAAUAGCCCAGGGAAACUUGGAGUAAUACCGUAUACGCCCGAGAGGGGAAAGAUUUAUCGCUAUAGGAUGGGCCCG